Molecule: long non-coding RNA, 126 nt
Organism: Amphimedon queenslandica
Lineage: Eukaryota; Metazoa; Porifera; Demospongiae; Haplosclerida; Niphatidae
Exons: 3
Source: RefSeq, a predicted model, not a curated record
AUACAUGUAUACUUACAUUAUUUUUAUAGCACCAUCAAGUAAUGCACCUUCUCCAUAUGUUGAGAGAUCAGAUUUCCAUGAGCAAGAAUUUCACAAUCAAGCAACAAAACACUUAAUAAUACGCUG